GGGGUUGUAGCUCAGUGGUAGGGCACUUGCCUACCACGCAUGGGGCAUUGGGUCUGAUCCUCAGCACCA
RNAcentral lists this transfer RNA (69 nucleotides) under Ictidomys tridecemlineatus (thirteen-lined ground squirrel). RNAcentral describes it as "Spermophilus tridecemlineatus (thirteen-lined ground squirrel) tRNA". It matches the Rfam family "tRNA". Rfam says of the family: Transfer RNA (tRNA) molecules are approximately 80 nucleotides in length. Lineage: Eukaryota; Metazoa; Chordata; Mammalia; Rodentia; Sciuridae. The record is from Rfam by way of RNAcentral.